This 378-nucleotide unclassified non-coding RNA is filed under the name plant metagenome. RNAcentral's name for it is "partial contains 5.8S ribosomal RNA, internal transcribed spacer 2, and large subunit ribosomal RNA". The stretch from base 1 to 105 matches the Rfam family "5.8S ribosomal RNA", at positions 50 to 154 of the family's 154-position model. The record is from RNAcentral.
GAAAUGCGAUAAGUAAUGUGAAUUGCAGAAUUCAGUGAAUCAUCGAAUCUUUGAACGCAUCUUGCGCUCCUUGGUAUUCCUUGGAGCAUGCCUGUUUGAGUAUCAUGAAAUCUUCAAGGUAAAUCUUUUGUUAACUCAAUUGGUUUCUACUUUGGUAUUGGAGGUCUUUGCAGCUUCACACCUGCUCCUCUUUGUUCAUUAGCUGGAUCUCAGUGUUAUGCUUGGUUCCACUCGGCGUGAUAAGUUAUCUAUCGCUGAGGACACUGUAAAAGGUGGCCAAGGUAAAUGCAGAUGAACCGCUUCUAAUAGUCCAUUGACUUGGACAAUACUUUUAUGAUCUGAUCUCAAAUCAGGUAGGACUACCCGCUGAACUUAAGC